RNAcentral lists this long non-coding RNA (433 nucleotides) under Brassica napus (rape). Its description in RNAcentral is "long non-coding RNA (BNAP_LNC026549)". Lineage: Eukaryota; Viridiplantae; Streptophyta; Magnoliopsida; Brassicales; Brassicaceae. The record is from RNAcentral.
UGAAAGACUAGAGAAUUUAGAGAGAUAAAGUAUCAUAAGAUUAUGAAGGAGGAAGGGAAAAACUCCCUCUCUCACUUAGUUUACAAAAUCUGCUACAAUGAGCUUUUAUAUGCAUUACAACUUGUAAGAAUAAACCUAAGAUCUAUGGCUGUGCCUUUCUAAUUUGAAUGGACGACCUGGAUUAGUCUUGAUGGUCAGAUGUGGUAUGUACACGAGCUGGAUAGGAAAGGAGAGAUGAAAGGCCAAGAUCUCUUUGUUUGAAAUGGAUGGCUGUAAAGGCUCACAUGCUUGUACAGCUUCCAUAAUCAUGUGGAGUCAAAGAUGCUUUCUUGGCAGCUUAUGACAGCCUGUCUAGGACCACAUACAGCUCCUCCCUUAUCCUCCAACGUCCAUAAGCUCAGACUUAGCUUCUCUUGCGCCCUAAGAUUUCCCA